AACGAACACUGGCGACAUGCCUAACACAUGCAAGUCGAACGAGAUCUUCGGGUCUAGUGGCGCACGGGUGCGUAACGCGUGGGAAUCUGCCCUUUGGUUCGGAAUAACAGUUGGAAACGACUGCUAAUACCGGAUGAUGACGAAAGUCCAAAGAUUUAUCGCCAGAGGAUGAGCCCGCGUAGGAUUAGCUAGUUGGUGUGGUAAAGGCGCACCAAGGCGACGAUCCUUAGCUGGUCUGAGAGGAUGAUCAGCCACACUGGGACUGAGACACGGCCCAGACUCCUACGGGAGGCAGCAGUGGGGAAUAUUGGACAAUGGGCGAAAGCCUGAUCCAGCAAUGCCGCGUGAGUGAUGAAGGCCUUAGGGUUGUAAAGCUCUUUUACCCGGGAUGAUAAUGACAGUACCGGGAGAAUAAGCUCCGGCUAACUCCGUGCCAGCCGCCGCGGUAA
RNAcentral lists this ribosomal RNA (449 nucleotides) under uncultured bacterium. RNAcentral's name for it is "partial 16S ribosomal RNA". It matches the Rfam family "Bacterial small subunit ribosomal RNA", at positions 29 to 523 of the family's 1533-position model. The record is from RNAcentral.